This 465-nucleotide ribosomal RNA is filed under the name uncultured bacterium. Its description in RNAcentral is "partial 16S ribosomal RNA". It matches the Rfam family "Bacterial small subunit ribosomal RNA", at positions 28 to 507 of the family's 1533-position model. The record is from RNAcentral.
GACGAACGCUGGCGGCGUGCUUAACACAUGCAAGUCGAACGGAAAGGCCCUGCUUGCAGGGUACUCGAGUGGCGAACGGGUGAGUAACACGUGGGUGAUCUGCCCUGCACUUCGGGAUAAGCCUGGGAAGCUGGGUCUAAUACCGGAUAGGAGCCAUUUUUAGUGUGAUGGUUGGAAAGUUUUUUCGGUGUAGGAUGAGCUCGCGGCCUAUCAGCUUGUUGGUGGGGUAAUGGCCUACCAAGGCGGCGACGGGUAGCCGGCCUGAGAGGGUGGACGGCCACAUUGGGACUGAGAUACGGCCCAGACUCCUACGGGAGGCAGCAGUGGGGAAUAUUGCACAAUGGGCGCAAGCCUGAUGCAGCGACGCCGCGGGGGGGAUGACGGCCUUCGGGUUGUAAACUCCUUUCGCUAGGGACGAAGCUUUUUGUGACGGUACCUAGAUAAGAAGCACCGGCUAACUACGUG